AAGAAGAGGCAGGAGAGAGUCAAAGUGUAAAGGGACUUGAUCCACCAUUGCUGGCUUUGAAGAUGGAAGAAGGGGGCUGUGAGCCAAGGGAUGCAGGCAGCUUCUAGAAGCUUGCAACAGCCCUCAGCUGAAGCCAGUGAGGAAAUGGGGCCCUACAACCACCGGGAACGGAAUUCUGCCUUCAGCCUCAAUGGGCUUCAAGCACACUCUUCCCCAGAGCUUCUGGAAAGGAACCCAUCCCUGCCAACACUUUGAUUUUAGCCUGGUGAGACCUGUGCCACACUCCUGACCUACAAAACUCUACUCAGGAAGUAACCUUGGAAGCAAAGCUAAUUCCAUUCUAAUCUGUGCUCUUGAAAUGUGAAGAUCAUAAGAAAUGAGUGAUUGAGAAGAUUCUGGAGAGCCUUGCUUGUUCCAGAUGGCUUCUGCUCCAAAAGAAGAAGCUUUUCAAGUGUCCCACGCAGUCCUGAACCCUUUGGGGCCUUCUCCUUUCACUGUGCCUCAAGCCCAAUAGAAGAAAAUCUCAUCCCAGCAGGGAAGGGAGGGUGAGGCGGAUGUGGGGGGUGUUUCAAGCAAGGUGAUUUUCUGGGUGAAAGUACUAUGUUCUUCCCAGCACUUAGCACAAAGCCUGCCACCCAGGUCAUGUGGGCGGAGAGACUUGUACUGCACCGAACAUCCUCACCUGUCAGCAGAGUAUCUGAUAGGGGUAGCAUUUACAGCACGUGCACUAAAAAUGCUAUUGUACCUUAUGCUUUACUUUAAUUACUCAAACCGGUGUUGUUUCCAGUGUUUUUUUCUCUCUCCUAAUGAACCUUCAACUGCUUGUACCUCCUUUCUCCCCCAUGGAAAAGUUGCAUAAUGAUGGCUUGUUUACAAACCUG
Molecule: long non-coding RNA, 881 nt
Filed under: Equus asinus (donkey)
Lineage: Eukaryota; Metazoa; Chordata; Mammalia; Perissodactyla; Equidae
Description: lncRNA (ENSEASG00005033769.1)
Source: RNAcentral